This 258-nucleotide ribosomal RNA is filed under the name uncultured bacterium. RNAcentral's name for it is "partial 16S ribosomal RNA". It matches the Rfam family "Bacterial small subunit ribosomal RNA", at positions 526 to 779 of the family's 1533-position model. The record is from RNAcentral.
CGUAGGGCGCAAGCGUUAUCCGGAAUUAUUGGGCGUAAAGAGCUCGUAGGCGGUUUGUCGCGUCUGCCGUGAAAGUCCGGGGGCUCAACUCCGGAUCUGCGGUGGGUACGGGCAGACUAGAGUGAUGUAGGGGAGACUGGAAUUCCUGGUGUAGCGGUGAAAUAGCGCAGAUAUCAGGAGGAACAACCGAUGGCGAAGGCAGGUCUCUGGGCAUUAACUGACGCUGAGGAGCGAAAGCAUGGGGAGGCGAACAGGAUU